RNAcentral lists this ribosomal RNA (253 nucleotides) under uncultured bacterium. Its description in RNAcentral is "partial 16S ribosomal RNA". It matches the Rfam family "Bacterial small subunit ribosomal RNA", at positions 524 to 776 of the family's 1533-position model. The record is from RNAcentral.
UACGAAGGGGGCUAGCGUUGCUCGGAAUCACUGGGCGUAAAGCGCACGUAGGCGGGUCUUUAAGUCGGGGGUGAAAUCCUGGAGCUCAACUCCAGAACUGCCUUUGAUACUGAAGAUCUUGAGUUCGGGAGAGGUGAGUGGAACUGCGAGUGUAGAGGUGAAAUUCGUAGAUAUUCGCAAGAACACCAGUGGCGAAGGCGGCUCACUGGCCCGAUACUGACGCUGAGGCACGAAAGCGUGGGGAGCAAACAGG